CUUAGGGUGGGAUUACAUACGCCUCCUGCCACAUCGGAUUUCCUUCUAUUUUGUCAGGGGUAGCAUCACCCAGUGAGUAAAUCUGUUAGUGAUCUCCCUUGCGUAACCUAGGAAUUCUCUCAGGAUCCAUUUCUCCAGUAGUUUUGAGAAGGCGACCAACAACAGCAAAGCGAGCAGUUCUUCCAUUCCAAGAGCAGCCAUCUUGCUUAACUGACAAACUAGAGAGAACUGCAAGGACUCAGUACAUCCCUGGCACAAUCCAUUCUCUCUCACAGCAUAUUAUAUGAGACUGUGUGAGUGCUGCUUCCACGGUGCACUAAAAACCCAUGGUCCCUGCAUUAUUUGAGCAACUGACAAGCUUCUGAAGUUCAGAUUCGCGAAAGCUGAGAGCAGCACCCAGUGGAUUUGUGGCAGAUUUUUGAUUAACCAAGCUGGCUGGUGUCGCCUCAGUUUGUCUAAAUUACCAAGGACCGCUGGAAUUUUCCUGGGAAUAUGUUUCGGGAAAGGUCAGAAACUCUUCAGUCGUCUUCACGCUUCCACUCAGUAGCAACGUUUUUGCACAUUCAUUGACUAUCAACUGGUUCUCUAUGACUCAAAUUACAUAAUGAAUCCAGCACAUAAAUUAUUUACUCAGAUUUAAUUCCA
This is a long non-coding RNA of Gorilla gorilla gorilla (western lowland gorilla), 645 nucleotides long. RefSeq lists it as uncharacterized. The record is from RefSeq and is a predicted model, not a curated record. The transcript is spliced from 2 exons. NCBI's taxonomy places the organism in Eukaryota, Metazoa, Chordata, Mammalia, Primates, Hominidae.